Limulus polyphemus (Atlantic horseshoe crab) is the source of this 349-nucleotide long non-coding RNA. RefSeq lists it as uncharacterized. The record is from RefSeq and is a predicted model, not a curated record. NCBI's taxonomy places the organism in Eukaryota, Metazoa, Arthropoda, Merostomata, Xiphosura, Limulidae. The transcript is spliced from 3 exons.
UACUAUGUAGAUAACUGACUCUGGCUUGUCUGCCUUGGCUACUCAGGAAUAUCUUGAGAAUCUUCAAGCACGAGGUUGUCCCCAACUUGGAGAUACAGGAUUUAUAAGUCUUAUCUUGUUGUGUCCUGGCCUUCAUUGCUUGGAUGUAAGUGGUUGCAUUCUUGUAUCAAAUGAUACUGUACAGGCUGGCUUAGAUGCCGUUAAGGAUCGAAUGUUGGACUCAAAACUGGUUAUUACUGUUGGAGGUACAAGUGUUGUCCCCGAAAAGCUAAAUUUGGACAGCCCUGUGUUAGAAGUAUCUAGGUUGAAUCUCUGUGCUGACCAUUUACGACCAGAUCAUGCUGAUUGG